GACGAACGCUGGCGGCGUGCUUAACACAUGCAAGUCGAACGGAAAGGCCCUGCUUUUGUGGGGUGCUCGAGUGGCGAACGGGUGAGUAACACGUGAGUAACCUGCCCUUGACUUUGGGAUAACUUCAGGAAACUGGGGCUAAUACCGGAUAGGAGCUCCUGCUGCAUGGUGGGGGUUGGAAAGUUUCGGCGGUUGGGGAUGGACUCGCGGCUUAUCAGCUUGUUGGUGGGGUAGUGGCUUACCAAGGCUUUGACGGGUAGCCGGCCUGAGAGGGUGACCGGCCACAUUGGGACUGAGCUACGGCCCAGACUCCUCCGGGAGGCAGCAGUGGGGAAUAUUGCACAAUGGGCGGAAGCCUGAUGCAGCAGCGCCGCGUGCGGGAUGACGGCCUUCGGGUUGUAUACCGCUUUCGCCUGUGACGAAGCGUGAGUGACGGUAAUGGGUAAAGAAGCACCGGCUAACUACGUG
RNAcentral lists this ribosomal RNA (468 nucleotides) under uncultured bacterium. Its description in RNAcentral is "partial 16S ribosomal RNA". It matches the Rfam family "Bacterial small subunit ribosomal RNA", at positions 28 to 507 of the family's 1533-position model. The record is from RNAcentral.